GACGAGCGCUGGCGGCGUGCUUAACACAUGCAAGUCGAACGGAAAGGCCCUGCUUUUGUGGGGUGCUCGAGCGGCGAACGGGUGAGUAACACGUGAGUAACCUGCCCUUGACUUUGGGAUAACUUCAGGAAACUGGGGCUAAUACCGGAUAGGAGCUCCUGCUGCAUGGUGGGGGUUGGAAAGUUUCGGCGGUUGGGGAUGGACUCGCGGCUUAUCAGCUUGUUGGUGGGGUAGUGGCUUACCAAGGCUUUGACGGGUAGCCGGCCUGAGAGGGUGACCGGCCACAUGGGGACUGAGAUACGGCCCAGACUCCUGCGGGAGGCAGCAGUGGGGAAUAUUGCACAAUGGGCGGAAGCCUGAUGCAGCAACGCCGCGUGCGGGAUGACGGCCUUCGGGUUGUAAACCGCUUUCGCCUGUGACGAAGCGUGAGUGACGGUAAUGGGUAAAGAAGCACCGGCUAACUACGUG
This 468-nucleotide ribosomal RNA is filed under the name uncultured bacterium. Its description in RNAcentral is "partial 16S ribosomal RNA". It matches the Rfam family "Bacterial small subunit ribosomal RNA", at positions 28 to 507 of the family's 1533-position model. The record is from RNAcentral.